UGGGGGAUAUUGCACAAUGGGGGGAACCCUGAUGCAGCGACGCCGCGUGGGUGAAGAAGCGCCUCGGCGCGUAAAGCCCUGUCAGCAGGGAAGAAAAUGACGGUACCUGAAG
RNAcentral lists this ribosomal RNA (112 nucleotides) under uncultured bacterium. RNAcentral's name for it is "partial 16S ribosomal RNA". It matches the Rfam family "Bacterial small subunit ribosomal RNA", at positions 355 to 484 of the family's 1533-position model. The record is from RNAcentral.